RNAcentral lists this transfer RNA (74 nucleotides) under Methanocella arvoryzae MRE50. RNAcentral describes it as "uncultured methanogenic archaeon RC-I tRNA". It matches the Rfam family "tRNA". From Rfam's summary of the family: Transfer RNA (tRNA) molecules are approximately 80 nucleotides in length. The record is from Rfam by way of RNAcentral. Lineage: Archaea; Methanobacteriati; Methanobacteriota; Methanomicrobia; Methanocellales; Methanocellaceae.
GCCCCUGUGGCUCAGUUGGCUAGAGCGGCUGACAUGUAAUCAGCAGUGCGGUAGUUCAAAUCUAUCCGGGGGCU